Molecule: transfer RNA, 69 nt
Filed under: Acnemia nitidicollis
Lineage: Eukaryota; Metazoa; Arthropoda; Insecta; Diptera; Mycetophilidae
Description: tRNA-Asp
Rfam family: tRNA
About the family: Transfer RNA (tRNA) molecules are approximately 80 nucleotides in length. Their secondary structure includes four short double-helical elements and three loops (D, anti-codon, and T loops).
Source: RNAcentral
GAAAAAUUAGUUAAAUAAAUAUAACAUUAGUUUGUCAAACUAAAAUUAUUAAUUAAUUAAUAUUUUUCU